AAGCAGCCCCCUAUGUAUUGGAUCUCCCCCAAGACCACUUUUGACUUAGUCUUCGCUGACAUAGCACCCACAAUGGUCGACACGUGGCACCUCACUUAAGGGAUGUGGGUGCCACGUCAGCGAAGACUAAGUCAAAAGUGGCCUUGGGAGCCAAAACUGCCAAAGAUCCAAUAUAUAGGGGGCUGUUU
This is a microRNA precursor of Medicago truncatula (barrel medic), 188 nucleotides long. It matches the Rfam family "MIR2619 microRNA precursor family". Lineage: Eukaryota; Viridiplantae; Streptophyta; Magnoliopsida; Fabales; Fabaceae. The record is from Rfam.